RNAcentral lists this ribosomal RNA (273 nucleotides) under uncultured Faecalibacterium sp. Its description in RNAcentral is "partial 16S ribosomal RNA". It matches the Rfam family "Bacterial small subunit ribosomal RNA", at positions 68 to 339 of the family's 1533-position model. The record is from RNAcentral. Lineage: Bacteria; Bacillati; Bacillota; Clostridia; Eubacteriales; Oscillospiraceae.
UUUUCGGAUGGAUUUUUGAUUGACUGAGUGGCGGACGGGUGAGUAACGCGUGGAUAACCUGCCUCACACUGGGGGAUAACAGUUGGAAACGACUGCUAAUACCGCAUAAGCCCACGGCUCGGCAUCGAGCAGAGGGAAAAGGAGUAAUCCGCUUUGAGAUGGCCUCGCGUCUGAUUAGCUAGUUGGUGAGGUAACGGCCCACCAAGGCGACGAUCGGUAGCCGGACUGAGAGGUCGAACGGCCACAUUGGGACUGAGACACGGCCCAGACUCC